RNAcentral lists this ribosomal RNA (480 nucleotides) under Streptococcus anginosus. RNAcentral's name for it is "bacterial SSU rRNA". It matches the Rfam family "Bacterial small subunit ribosomal RNA", at positions 28 to 485 of the family's 1533-position model. Lineage: Bacteria; Bacillati; Bacillota; Bacilli; Lactobacillales; Streptococcaceae. The record is from RNAcentral.
GACGAACGCUGGCGGCGUGCCUAAUACAUGCAAGUAGGACGCACAGUUUAUACCGUAGCUUGCUACACCAUAGACUGUGAGUUGCGAACGGGUGAGUAACGCGUAGGUAACCUGCCUAUUAGAGGGGGAUAACUAUUGGAAACGAUAGCUAAUACCGCAUAACAGUAUGUAACACAUGUUAGAUGCUUGAAAGAUGCAAUUGCAUCGCUAGUAGAUGGACCUGCGUUGUAUUAGCUAGUAGGUAGGGUAAUGGCCUACCUAGGCGACGAUACAUAGCCGACCUGAGAGGGUGAUCGGCCACACUGGGACUGAGACACGGCCCAGACUCCUACGGGAGGCAGCAGUAGGGAAUCUUCGGCAAUGGGGGGAACCCUGACCGAGCAACGCCGCGUGAGUGAAGAAGGUUUCGGAUCGUAAAGCUCUGUUGUUAAGGAAGAACGAGUGUGAGAAUGGAAAGUUCAUACUGUGACGGACUAACCA